CAAACUGAGAAUUCAGACAUAUUUGAAAGGCAACCACUAAUGCCCUCUAAAAAUUGGAGGUAUAACUGACUCUAGGAGCAAAACUACGAAGUUGACAUUAUCACAGAUCCACCAAAAAUGAAUGGAUCAAAAGGAGAUGUAACUAGGGGAUGAGAGCAGGUAUAUACAAUUCAGUCAUGCAGUUUUCCUUUUAAUGCUGGCAAAACAUUUCACUGCAACAAGCUCUUCACUAUUCUUGAUAACAUUUAAUGAGAUGGAUCCUUUUGAUGACAACCUACAUUAUAUUUUGGUAUACUUUUAUUUCAUCCCACCCUUAAGUAUUUCUUUAGACCACAUGAUUUUCUUCAUGAUUUAAGGAAACCUAAAUACUUAAAGUAUACUAUCUCAGAAGAAGAUGAAAACAAAUAAAAUAAGGCUUGAUGGAAACCUAAUUCAUAGCUUCACAACAAUUUCAUUAAAAUUAAU
This is a long non-coding RNA of Monodelphis domestica (gray short-tailed opossum), 465 nucleotides long. RefSeq lists it as uncharacterized. The record is from RefSeq and is a predicted model, not a curated record. NCBI's taxonomy places the organism in Eukaryota, Metazoa, Chordata, Mammalia, Didelphimorphia, Didelphidae.